RNAcentral lists this ribosomal RNA (464 nucleotides) under uncultured bacterium. RNAcentral describes it as "partial 16S ribosomal RNA". It matches the Rfam family "Bacterial small subunit ribosomal RNA", at positions 339 to 795 of the family's 1533-position model. The record is from RNAcentral.
CUACGGGGUGCAGCAGUGGGGAAUAUUGCACAAUGGGCGCAAGCCUGAUGCAGCCAUGCCGCGUGUAUGAAGAAGGCCUUCGGGUUGUAAAGUACUUUCAGCGGGGAGGAAGGGAGUAAAGUUAAUACCUUUGCUCAUUGACGUUACCCGCAGAAGAAGCACCGGCUAACUCCGUGCCAGCAGCCGCGGUAAUACGGAGGGUGCAAGCGUUAAUCGGAAUUACUGGGCGUAAAGCGCACGCAGGCGGUUUGUUAAGUCAGAUGUGAAAUCCCCGGGCUCAACCUGGGAACUGCAUCUGAUACUGGCAAGCUUGAGUCUCGUAGAGGGGGGUAGAAUUCCAGGUGUAGCGGUGAAAUGCGUAGAGAUCUGGAGGAAUACCGGUGGCGAAGGCGGCCCCCUGGACGAAGACUGACGCUCAGGUGCGAAAGCGUGGGGAGCAAACAGGAUUAGAUACCCCUGUAGUC